AUUUAUCGAAUCUUGUAGGUUGAAAAUAUUCUCCAUGCCGUGGGCAGCUGCUGUGUGGUGAAGUCAGUGUUGUGAGAAGCUGCAAGUCUUCAGAAAUGUCAUUACCAGCAGCAACUCGCCAAAACAAUGUCUGCAAAGAUAAAAAUCUCAUUUGCAGUCUCCAGUCUUGUUGUAUUAGAGUAUGGAAGGAUGACAGUUCAACAAAUUGAACUGAGGAAGGAAUAUAAGGCAAGCUCCAGAAGUACUUCCAUCAUCAGAGAGGCCCUACCAGGUGUAUCUCAUAUCUUAUUGGAAAUCCCAAACUAGCAUGAACUAAAGCACUGCUGAGGAUCAUAGUGUCUGCCACAAAAAAAAGUCUGCUCAUACAGGAUAUACACAUGUACUGAAAUUUUUUCAAUUUCUUUAUUCGCUUUUUUCCAAAUUGAUGCAUGUGAAAUGAAAUGUCAAAUAGAAUUUUAGAUUUAUUUUAUUCAUGCCAUUUUCAACAAUAUUCAUUUGACAGUCUGGUUUUCCAUACAUUUGUAGCUCACUGCUGGAAUGAAACUGGUUAAAUACUUGUAAAUCAUAACAGUAUUCUAAAGAAAUAGGUCAGAAUUUUACUUAUCUUGUAAUACCAUAAAGGCUUUUGGUAAAAUUGUACAUCUUUCACCCAUAUUACUUUAUAUAAGAAUAAAAUUAAUUUUAUAUUGGCUUAUACUAGAUCAUUAAUAUUUUUAUUCAUGAUGAAAAGUAAAUACCUGUACUGAGUCUUUGAAUUAAAUUCAACUCAUUAUUAGCACAAUGUUUUUUACCCAUUGUAUAAAAUUACACCAGUCAAAUUUUAUCUACUAUUCUCAACAAGCUGACACCUUUAAAGCUCUUUGAAAUAUGUAAAUAAAUCUUAAGUAUAAUACAUGCUGAAGUUACCAUUUUAUAAACAGAAAAUAUAAUUUAAUCCAUUGUACAUUAAAGUUAUACUAUAACUUAAUUCACUGAACAUUACCAAUAUGUAUUUAUUUUAAGAAAACUUUAUUGAUUUAUAUCUUAAGUUUAAUAUGAAUAUCAUUAGUAAUUUUCAAUACAAUUAUUAACACCUUUUUGUAUUUAUAACUUUACUUCCACAAACAAUACAUGAACUGGUAAACAGUCGUGCUACUGCUUUUUAUUUUUUAUGGGAAUUCAGAAUGCAGUGCUGUACACACAUGUCUUGUCCAUAUUUUUUUUUAGCUUUACUAAAAGGAAUAUUAUGAGUAUAAAUUUUAAUUAAUUAUAUACUUUUUUUCAAUUACUUGGACAGUAAAAAUCCUGACAAAAUAUGCAUUUGUAACUUAAUUACACAUGAUAUUUGGGUUUUUUAGAUCUACAAAAAAUAGUUAUAAAGUAAAGAGAAUUUAAUGUGCCUCUCUCAAGUCUAGCAGAUACAUUCACAGCACACAUUUUAUUAAUAAAGAGUGAUUCACAGAUAUACUAAUCAGCAGCUAGCAGUAAUAAAAGGCCUCCCUUUCCUGUCCUAGAUAUAAAGUUCCAGACUAAAAAAAAAUUGUCAUGCAAAUCUGUAUUUUAAGAUACCAUGUCAAAGCUGUAAUGAUUUAUGCAGAAUACCUGCACUUACAUAAUAUUAUUAAUUAAAAGUUUUCUGUAUGAAAUAAUUUUUUUUUAAUUUCAAACCUUCCAUAUGCCAUACAGUCAAAGCUGCCUGCAUGCAAUAUCUUUUAUUUGCCAAACAUGAUGAUAUUCCACACAUUUGGUUAUCUCAAGAUCUUCUACACUAUACAUUAUUAGCCAGUUUAUAUAUACAAUAUUACAAAUGAAAAUUCAAUUUUUUAAAUAAGGCAUAUUAUGUUACAUGUGUACUGUAAAUGAUUCCUACAUAUAAUACUUGUACUAAAAAUCAUAUCCUAGUACAGUGGAACCUCGGUAUUCGAAUGAUUUGUUCAGUAAACAAAUCGCCUGGCACAUGACUUGCCAGAACUUAACUUUAAACUAUUUCAUGUUUCUUUGCAUUUUUGUUUUUAUAAUCAAAAAGAAGUGCUAAGUAUUACUUGUAUAAAUAAGUCACCAUGAGGGCUAGUGAUAACCAACCAAAAAGAAAAUUGGUUGGGAAAAAUUUUAUUUGUGUACUUGAACAGUCUUCUGGAACCAAUUAAGUUCGAGUGUCGAAGUUCCACUGUAUCUGUUAACUUCUUUGUUCUCACAAUUUCACUUUAGUAAUGGUAAAAGUACUGAUAUGGUAUAUGUUAAAAAUUCCAAUAUAUUAUUGUCAUAUUAUAGUACAGUACUGUAGUCUCCAAGCCUUUACUUGACAACAAUUAACAUAAAUGAUAACAUCAUGCUCUUAUUUUCUACUAACUUGUUAAAAUUUGCAAACUUUUUCACACACAUUAAAUAUAAAUUAAUGUGAUUUUAUAGAAAUGACCAUUCACAGGGUCUACUUACUAAAAUCUUUCACCACUAUGAGUUAGUGUCAAACCGAAUAGCAUGUCAUUUAUCAGCAAUCACAGUAUCAAAUUAGUUACACUGGUCAGCCUGGAUCUUCCUUGAACUAGAAUGAAAAUCUAUUUUAUUUGAAGAAAAGAAACAUUACAGAGGAUGUUUUUAUGAAAACAAUGCUUUGCUCUCAGUAAAAUGUUCUCCAAAUAAAGUAACAGCUUGAUCUGCAUUGUUGUUGGCAGAAUGCCAUAUGCAUCUGUCUACUAUUUCUGGUGAAUUACAGUAU
Cherax quadricarinatus is the source of this 2695-nucleotide non-coding RNA. NCBI's taxonomy places the organism in Eukaryota, Metazoa, Arthropoda, Malacostraca, Decapoda, Parastacidae. The record is from RefSeq and is a predicted model, not a curated record.